This 325-nucleotide ribosomal RNA is filed under the name uncultured eukaryote. RNAcentral's name for it is "partial 18S ribosomal RNA". It matches the Rfam family "Eukaryotic small subunit ribosomal RNA", at positions 1470 to 1796 of the family's 1831-position model. The record is from RNAcentral.
CCCUUAGAUGUCCCGGGCCGCACGCGCGCUACACUGAUGCAUUCAACGAGUAUUUCCUUGGCCGAGAGGCCUGGGCAAUCUUUUAAACCUGCAUCGUGAUAGGGAUAGAUUAUUGCAAUUAUUAAUCUUGAACGAGGAAUUCCUAGUAAACGCAAAUCAUCAAUUUGCAUUGAUUACGUCCCUGCCCUUUGUACACACCGCCCGUCGCACCUACCGAUUGAAUGGUCCGGUGAAAUCUCGGGAUUGUGGCCAGUUCACUUUAUUGGGAGUUGGCUGCGAGAACUUGCUUAAACCUUAUCAUUUAGAGGAAGGUGAAGUCGUAACA